UACGAAGGGGGCGAGCGUUGUUCGGAAUUACUGGGCGUAAAGGGCGCGUAGGCGGCCGAUCAAGUCAGAUGUGAAAGUCCUGGGCUUAACCUGGGGACUGCAUUUGAUACUGAUUGGCUUGAAUUCGGGAGAGGAUAGCGGAAUUCCCAGUGUAGAGGUGAAAUGCGCAGAUAUCAGGAGGAACACCGGUGGCGAAGGCGGGUCUCUGGGCAGUAACUGACGCUGAGGAGCGAAAGCGUGGGGAGCGAACAGG
This 253-nucleotide ribosomal RNA is filed under the name uncultured bacterium. RNAcentral's name for it is "partial 16S ribosomal RNA". It matches the Rfam family "Bacterial small subunit ribosomal RNA", at positions 524 to 776 of the family's 1533-position model. The record is from RNAcentral.